UGCAGUCGAGCGGUAAGGCCUUUCGGGGUACACGAGCGGCGAACGGGUGAGUAACACGUGGGUGAUCUGCCCUGCACUCUGGGAUAAGCUUGGGAAACUGGGUCUAAUACCGGAUAUGACCGCAUGCUGCAUGGGGUGUGGUGGAAAGAUUUAUCGGUGCAGGAUGGGCCCGCGGCCUAUCAGCUUGUUGGUGGGGUAAUGGCCUACCAAGGCGACGACGGGUAGCCGACCUGAGAGGGUGACCGGCCACACUGGGACUGAGACACGGCCCAGACUCCUACGGGAGGCAGCAGUGGGGAAUAUUGCACAAUGGGCGGAAGCCUGAUGCAGCGACGCCGCGUGAGGGAUGAAGGCCUUCGGGUUGUAAACCUCUUUCAGCAGGGACGAAGCGUGAGUGACGGUACCUGCAGAAGAAGCACCGGCUAACUACGUGCCAGCCGCCC
RNAcentral lists this ribosomal RNA (443 nucleotides) under Rhodococcoides fascians. RNAcentral's name for it is "bacterial SSU rRNA". It matches the Rfam family "Bacterial small subunit ribosomal RNA", at positions 56 to 517 of the family's 1533-position model. The record is from RNAcentral. Lineage: Bacteria; Bacillati; Actinomycetota; Actinomycetes; Mycobacteriales; Nocardiaceae.